AUGCUCAAAACCAGAGUGCUCGGGCUUGCGGCAAUUGAGAGGGCUAGAAUAUGGCAAGCCUCUCGGGUGCUAUGGAUUAAGGCUGGAGAUGCCAGCACAAAGUUCUUCCAUGCAAAGUGCAGUAACAGAAGGAGGAAAAACUAUAUACGUUCUCUGCAAACUAAGGGAGGGGAGGUCUUAUCCCAGCAUCAGGAGAAAGCUCAAGAGAUUUUCAGGCACUUUUCAAAUCAGUUGGGCACAAGGAAGAAUAGGCCCCUCACAAUCAACUGGGAACAGCUUCAGUUACCUCAAGUGACAGAUGUGGGUUUAGAUAACCCGUUCUCAGAGGGAGAGGUGUGGGCGGCUGUUGUGAGCUCUCCGGCAGAAAAAGCCCCAGCCCGGAUGGAUUCACUGGCCAGUUCUUUCGUUCGUGUUGGAGCAUCAUUAAGGACGACAUCAUGGCUUUUUUCUCCAAGUUCUACAGGGCGAUUAACACAAAUUUUUCUGAUCUGA
Molecule: ribosomal RNA, 492 nt
Filed under: Triticum aestivum (bread wheat)
Lineage: Eukaryota; Viridiplantae; Streptophyta; Magnoliopsida; Poales; Poaceae
Description: partial small subunit ribosomal RNA
Source: RNAcentral